RNAcentral lists this ribosomal RNA (23 nucleotides) under Virgilia oroboides. Its description in RNAcentral is "partial 26S ribosomal RNA". Lineage: Eukaryota; Viridiplantae; Streptophyta; Magnoliopsida; Fabales; Fabaceae. The record is from RNAcentral.
GGGACCUCAGGUCAGGCGGGGCU